Molecule: ribosomal RNA, 732 nt
Filed under: uncultured eukaryote
Lineage: Eukaryota
Description: SSU rRNA
Rfam family: Eukaryotic small subunit ribosomal RNA
Source: RNAcentral
CGCGAGUACUGGUCCGGCUGGGUCUUUCCCUUCUGGGGAACCCCAUGGCCUUCACUGGCUGUGGGGGGAACCAGGACUUUUACUGUGAAAAAAUUAGAGUGUUCAAAGCAGGCCUUUGCUCGAAUACAUUAGCAUGGAAUAAUAGAAUAGGACGUGCGGUUCUAUUUUGUUGGUUUCUAGGACCGCCGUAAUGAUUAAUAGGGAUAGUCGGGGGCGUCAGUAUUCAGCUGUCAGAGGUGAAAUUCUUGGAUUUGCUGAAGACUAACUACUGCGAAAGCAUUCGCCAAGGAUGUUUUCAUUAAUCAGGGAACGAAAGUUAGGGGAUCGAAGACGAUCAGAUACCGUCGUAGUCUUAACCAUAAACUAUGCCGACUAGGGAUCGGACGGUGUUUCUAUGAUGACCCGUUCGGCACCUUACGAGAAAUCAAAGUUUUUGGGUUCUGGGGGGGAGUAUGGUCGCAAGGGCUGAAACUUAAAGAAAUUGACGGAAGGGCACCACAAGGCGUGGAGCCUGCGGCUUAAUUUGACUCAACACGGGGAAACUCACCAGGUCCAGACAAAAUAAGGAUUGACAGAUUGAGAGCUCUUUCUUGAUCUUUUGGAUGGUGGUGCAUGCCCGUUUUUAGUUGGUGGAGUGAUUUGUCUGCUUAAUUGCGAUAACGAACGAGCCCUCGCCCCUUAAAUAGCCCGGUCCGCGUCUGCGGGCCGCCGGCUUCUUAGGGGGACUAUCGG